RNAcentral lists this ribosomal RNA (440 nucleotides) under uncultured bacterium. RNAcentral's name for it is "partial 16S ribosomal RNA". It matches the Rfam family "Bacterial small subunit ribosomal RNA", at positions 338 to 795 of the family's 1533-position model. The record is from RNAcentral.
CCUACGGGUGGCAGCAGUGGGGAAUAUUGCACAAUGGGCGAAACCCUGAUGCAGCGACGCCGCGUGAGUGAAGACGGAUUUCGGUAUUUAAAGCUCUAUCAGCAGGGAAGAAAAUGACGGUACGUGACUCAGAAGCCCCGGCUAACUCCGUGCCAGCAGCCGCGAUAAUACGUAGGGGGCCAGCGUUAUCCGGAUUUACUGGGUGUAAAGGGAGCGUAGACGGCAGAGCAAGUCUGAGGUGAAAGCCCGCGGCUCAACUGCGGGACUGCUUUGGAAACUGCUCGGCUAGAGUGUGGGAGAGGUAAGCGGAAUUACUAGUGUAGCGGUGAAAUGCGUAGAUAUUAGGAGGAACACCAGUGGCGAAGGCGGCUUACUGGACAGUAACUGACGUUGAGGCUCGAAAGCGUGGGGAGCAAACAGGAUUAGAUACCCCUGUAGUC